RNAcentral lists this ribosomal RNA (459 nucleotides) under uncultured bacterium. RNAcentral's name for it is "partial 16S ribosomal RNA". It matches the Rfam family "Bacterial small subunit ribosomal RNA", at positions 28 to 504 of the family's 1533-position model. The record is from RNAcentral.
GACGAACGCUGGCGGCGUGCUUAACACAUGCAGGUCGAACGGAAAGGCCCUUCGGGGUACUCGAGUGGCGAACGGGUGCGUAACACGUGGGUGAUCUGCCCUGCACUUUGGGAUAAGCCUGGGAAACUGGGUCUAAUACCGAAUAGGACCACGCGCUUCAUGGUGUGUGGUGGAAAGCUUUUGCGGUGUGGGAUGGGCCCGCGGCCUAUCAGCUUGUUGGUGGUGUAAUGGCCUACCAAGGCGACGACUGGUAGCCGGCCUGAGAGGGUGACCGGCCACACUGGUACUGAGAUACGGACCAGACUCCUUCGGGCGGCAGCCGUGGGGAAUAUUGCACAAUGGGCGCAAGCCUGAGGCAGCGACGCCGCGGGAGGGAUGGCGGCCUUCGGGUUGUAAACCUCUUUCAAUAGGGACGAAGCGCAAGUGACGGUACCUAUAGAAGAAGCACCGGCCAACGAC